GAAUAUUGGUCAAUGGACGCAAGUCUGAACCAGCCAUGCCGCGUGGAGGAUGAAGGUCCUCUGGAUUGUAAACUUCUUUUAUCUGGGACGAAAAAGGGUCUUUCUAGAUCAACUGACGGUACCAGAUGAAUAAGCACCGGCUAACUACGUGACAGCCGCCGCGGUAAUACGGAGGGUGCAAGCGUUAUCCGGAUUCACUGGGUUUAAAGGGUGCGUAGGUGGGUUGGUAAGUCAGUGGUGAAAUCCCCGAGCUUAACUUGGGAACUGCCAUUGAUACUAUCAGUCUUGAAUAUUGUGGAGGUUAGCGGAAUAUGUCAUGUAGCGGUGAAAUGCUUAGAUAUGACAUAGAACACCAAUUGCGAAGGCAGCUGGCUACGCAUAUAUUGACACUGAGGCACGAAAGCGUGGGGAUCAAACAGG
RNAcentral lists this ribosomal RNA (420 nucleotides) under uncultured bacterium. RNAcentral describes it as "bacterial SSU rRNA". It matches the Rfam family "Bacterial small subunit ribosomal RNA", at positions 359 to 776 of the family's 1533-position model. The record is from RNAcentral.